Molecule: non-coding RNA, 103 nt
Organism: Aspergillus bertholletiae
Lineage: Eukaryota; Fungi; Ascomycota; Eurotiomycetes; Eurotiales; Aspergillaceae
Source: the annotation of a GenBank genome assembly
GGGGCGGUAGCUCAGUGGUAGAGUGGAAGAUUGCAAUAAGCUGAUCCUUCAGAGCGGCUUGCAACCUAUCUUUAGGUCGCCGGUUCGAACCCGGCCCGUCCCU